This 492-nucleotide ribosomal RNA is filed under the name uncultured bacterium. RNAcentral describes it as "partial 16S ribosomal RNA". It matches the Rfam family "Bacterial small subunit ribosomal RNA", at positions 29 to 507 of the family's 1533-position model. The record is from RNAcentral.
AGUGAACGCUGGCGGUAGGCCUAACACAUGCAAGUCGAACGGCAGCACAGUAAGAGCUUGCUCUUACGGGUGGCGAGUGGCGGACGGGUGAGGAAUACAUCGGAAUCUACUUUUUCGUGGGGGAUAACGUAGGGAAACUUACGCUAAUACCGCAUACGACCUACGGGUGAAAGCAGGGGAUCUUCGGACCUUGCGCGAUUGAAUGAGCCGAUGUCGGAUUAGCUAGUUGGCGGGGUAAAGGCCCACCAAGGCGACGAUCCGUAGCUGGUCUGAGAGGAUGAUCAGCCACACUGGAACUGAGACACGGUCCAGACUCCUACGGGAGGCAGCAGUGGGGAAUAUUGACCAAUGGGCGCAAGCCUGAUCCAGCCAUACCGCGUGGGUGAAGAAGGCCUUCGGGUUGUAAAGCCCUUUUGUUGGGAAAGAAAAGCAGCAGGUUAAUACCCCGCUGUUCUGACGGUACCCAAAGAAUAAGCACCGGCUAACUUCGUG